AGAUCAGUACGCUGGUCGUGCCUUUGGUAUGCACUGGUGUCACUGGUUUCUCCCUUCUGAAGAACUGUCAUGCCAUUCAGUUGGUGUGGCGGGGAAUCAGGACUGUUACUUUGAAAAAAUUAGAGUGUUUAAAGCAGGCGUCCGUCUGAAUACAUUAGCAUGGAAUAAUAAAAUAGGACGGUUUGGUUCUAUUUUGUUGGUUUCUAGGACCGAAGUAAUGAUUAAUAGGGAUAGUUG
RNAcentral lists this ribosomal RNA (237 nucleotides) under uncultured Glomus. Its description in RNAcentral is "partial 18S ribosomal RNA". The stretch from base 47 to 237 matches the Rfam family "Eukaryotic small subunit ribosomal RNA", at positions 693 to 884 of the family's 1831-position model. Lineage: Eukaryota; Fungi; Glomeromycota; Glomeromycetes; Glomerales; Glomeraceae. The record is from RNAcentral.